AUGGCCCAUGAAAGCAGCUUAUCAUUUCUUUGAGACGUCCAGAGCUUCCAGGCUAACCAAGUGCCAAAAAAGCAUUUGACCUCAUGAAGGAUUACGUGAUGGCGACUGAUCCAUUAAAUUCUUUGUAAGCCGGAAGCCAGGUUCAAGUCCUUCUUAAGGGAUUUAUUUAAAGCAUUGUAAUAAGGUCACAGAUUCAAAAGAGGAGAAGCGUUGCUGUACAUUAUUAAUGAUCCCUGCAGAGCAUUGCAAUUAAAUAACCCAUCUGCUUGUUUGGAUCUAACGCGUGGAGUGUUGACAUUCGUGUGGACAUCUGUUUGAGAAUCCUGGUGGGCACAGAGUGGUAGUUCCAGCUGUGUAAAGAUGCAUUGCUACCACCAGCUUCUCCACUGCCUUUUCCUCAACCAAUGUUGACUGGUCCAGACCAAGAGGUGGUCGUGCUGGAAUCCUGGAAGCCAAGACACAAGUUUGG
Molecule: long non-coding RNA, 469 nt
Organism: Podarcis muralis (Common wall lizard)
Lineage: Eukaryota; Metazoa; Chordata; Lepidosauria; Squamata; Lacertidae
Source: RefSeq, a predicted model, not a curated record